RNAcentral lists this ribosomal RNA (800 nucleotides) under uncultured bacterium. RNAcentral describes it as "bacterial SSU rRNA". It matches the Rfam family "Bacterial small subunit ribosomal RNA", at positions 43 to 851 of the family's 1533-position model. The record is from RNAcentral.
CGUGCUUAACACAUGCAAGUCGAACGAUGAUCUCCAGCUUGCUGGGGGGAUUAGUGGCGAACGGGUGAGUAACACGUGAGUAACCUGCCCUUUAACUCUGGGAUAAGCCUGGGAAACUGGGUCUAAUACCGGAUAUGACUCCUCAUCGCAUGGUGGGGGGUGGAAAGCUUUUUGUGGUUUUGGAUGGACUCGCGGCCUAUCAGCUUGUUGGUGAGGUAAUGGCUCACCAAGGCGACGACGGGUAGCCGGCCUGAGAGGGUGACCGGCCACACUGGGACUGAGACACGGCCCAGACUCCUACGGGAGGCAGCAGUGGGGAAUAUUGCACAAUGGGCGCAAGCCUGAUGCAGCGACGCCGCGUGAGGGAUGACGGCCUUCGGGUUGUAAACCUCUUUCAGUAGGGAAGAAGCGAAAGUGACGGUACCUGCAGAAGAAGCGCCGGCUAACUACGUGCCAGCAGCCGCGGUAAUACGUAGGGCGCAAGCGUUAUCCGGAAUUAUUGGGCGUAAAGAGCUCGUAGGCGGUUUGUCGCGUCUGCCGUGAAAGUCCGGGGCUCAACUCCGGAUCUGCGGUGGGUACGGGCAGACUAGAGUGAUGUAGGGGAGACUGGAAUUCCUGGUGUAGCGGUGAAAUGCGCAGAUAUCAGGAGGAACACCGAUGGCGAAGGCAGGUCUCUGGGCAUUAACUGACGCUGAGGAGCGAAAGCAUGGGGAGCGAACAGGAUUAGAUACCCUGGUAGUCCAUGCCGUAAACGUUGGGCACUAGGUGUGGGGGGACAUUCCACGUUUUCCGCGCCGUAG